AUUGAACGCUGGCGGCAGGCCUAACACAUGCAAGUCGAGCGAGCGGCGGACGGGUGAGUAAUGUAUGGGGACUGCCCGAUAGAGGGGGAUAACUACUGGAAACGGUGGCUAAUACCGCAUACUAUCGGAUAACCCAUAUGGGAUUAGCUAGUAUGUAAGGUAAUGGCUUACCUAGGCGACGAUCCCUAGCUGGUCUGAGAGGAUGAUCAGCCACACUGGGACUGAUACACGGCCCAGACUCCGACGGAGGCAGCAGGGGGUAAUAUUGCACAAUGGGCGAAAGCCUGAUGCAGCCAUGCCGAGUGUAUGAAGAAGGCCCUAGGGUUGUAAAGUACUUUCAGUCGGGAGGCGUUAUCGACAGAAGAAGCACCGGCUAACUCCGUGCCAGCCGCCGCGGUAAUUC
RNAcentral lists this ribosomal RNA (403 nucleotides) under uncultured bacterium. RNAcentral's name for it is "partial 16S ribosomal RNA". It matches the Rfam family "Bacterial small subunit ribosomal RNA", at positions 30 to 526 of the family's 1533-position model. The record is from RNAcentral.